This is a non-coding RNA of Otolemur garnettii (small-eared galago), 78 nucleotides long. The record is from Rfam. Lineage: Eukaryota; Metazoa; Chordata; Mammalia; Primates; Galagidae.
UGGUUAGAUGAUGAAAACUGGUGAUGUACGUGUGAGUUAUAGAUGAUGAAUACUCUUGUCUGCAGUUGUGAGAUCCAG